This 323-nucleotide ribosomal RNA is filed under the name uncultured Actinomycetes bacterium. RNAcentral's name for it is "bacterial SSU rRNA". It matches the Rfam family "Bacterial small subunit ribosomal RNA", at positions 28 to 351 of the family's 1533-position model. Lineage: Bacteria; Bacillati; Actinomycetota; Actinomycetes. The record is from RNAcentral.
GAUGAACGCUGGCGGCGUGCUUAACACAUGCAAGUCGAACGAGGUCCAACCUUCGGGUGAAGACCGAGUGGCGAACGGGUGAGUAACACGUGGGGAACCUGCCCUUCUCUCUGGGAUAACGUCGAGAAAUCGGUGCUAAUACCGGAUACUCCUUGCGGAUCGCAUGGUCUGCUCGGGAAAGCUCCGGCGGAGAAGGAUGGCCCCGCGGCCCAUUAGCUAGUUGGUGAGGUAAUGGCCCACCAAGGCAACGAUGGGUAGCCGAGCUGAGAGGCUGAUCGGCCACACUGGGACUGAGACACGGCCCAGACUCCUACGGGAGGCAG